AUGCCUUAGUUACGGCGAGUGAAGCGGCAAAAGCUCAAAUUUGAAAUCUGGUACCUUCGGUGCCCGAGUUGUAAUUUGGAGAGGGCAACUUUGGGGCCGUUCCUUGUCUAUGUUCCUUGGAACAGGACGUCAUAGAGGGUGAGAAUCCCGUGUGGCGAGGAGUGCGGUUCUUUGUAAAGUGCCUUCGAAGAGUCGAGUUGUUUGGGAAUGCAGCUCUAAGUGGGUGGUAAAUUCCAUCUAAAGCUAAAUAUUGGCGAGAGACCGAUAGCGAACAAGUACAGUGAUGGAAAGAUGAAAAGAACUUUGAAAAGAGAGUGAAAAAGUACGUGAAAUUGUUGAAAGGGAAGGGCAUUUGAUCAGACAUGGUGUUUUGUGCCCUCUGCUCCUUGUGGGUAGGGGAAUCUCGCAUUUCACUGGGCCAGCAUCAGUUUUGGUGGCAGGAUAAAUCCAUAGGAAUGUAGCUUGCCUCGGUAAGUAUUAUAGCCUGUGGGAAUACUGCCAGCUGGGACUGAGGACUGCGACGUAAGUCAAGGAUGCUGGCAUAAUGGUUAUAUGCCGCCCGUCUUGAACCACGGACCAAA
RNAcentral lists this ribosomal RNA (581 nucleotides) under Saccharomyces cerevisiae (brewer's yeast). RNAcentral's name for it is "partial large subunit ribosomal RNA". It matches the Rfam family "Eukaryotic large subunit ribosomal RNA", at positions 73 to 670 of the family's 3401-position model. Lineage: Eukaryota; Fungi; Ascomycota; Saccharomycetes; Saccharomycetales; Saccharomycetaceae. The record is from RNAcentral.